GCCCGGGUGGCGGAACGGCAGACGCAGAGGUCUCAAAAACCUCCGGGGGAAACCCCGUGUGGGUUCGACUCCCACCCCGGGCACCA
Molecule: transfer RNA, 86 nt
Filed under: Coriobacteriaceae bacterium
Lineage: Bacteria; Bacillati; Actinomycetota; Coriobacteriia; Coriobacteriales; Coriobacteriaceae
Description: tRNA-Leu
Rfam family: tRNA
About the family: Transfer RNA (tRNA) molecules are approximately 80 nucleotides in length. Their secondary structure includes four short double-helical elements and three loops (D, anti-codon, and T loops). Further hydrogen bonds mediate the characteristic L-shaped molecular structure. tRNAs have two regions of fundamental functional importance: the anti-codon, which is responsible for specific mRNA codon recognition, and the 3' end, to which the tRNAs corresponding amino acid is attached (by aminoacyl-tRNA synthetases). tRNAs cope with the degeneracy of the genetic code in two manners: having more than one tRNA (with a specific anti-codon) for a particular amino acid; and 'wobble' base-pairing, i.e. permitting non-standard base-pairing at the 3rd anti-codon position.
Source: RNAcentral